UAACUUAGGGAGAAGGGGUGCCUACGAGAGUAGGCCGCAGUGAAUAGGCUCAAGCAACUGUUUAUCAAAAACACAGGUCUCUGCUAAAGCGUAAGCUGAUGUAUAGGGGCUGACGCCUGCCCGGUGCUGGAAGGUUAAGGGGAAUAGUUAGCGCAAGCGAAGCUAUGAACUUAAGCCCCAGUAAACGGCGGCCGUAACUAUAACGGUCCUAAGGUAGCGAAAUUCCUUGUCGGGUAAGUUCCGACCCGCACGAAUGGCGUAAUGAUUUGAGCACUGUCUCGGCAAUAAAUCCGGUGAAAUUGUAGUGCAAGUGAAGAUGCUUGCUACCCGCGGUUGGACGGAAAGACCCCGUAGAGCUUUACUGUAGCUUAGCAUUGAAUUUCGGUAUUGUCUGUACAGGAUAGGUGGGAGACUUAGAAGCGAGGGCGUCAGCUUUCGUGGAGUCGUCCUUGGGAUACCACCCUGACAGUACUGGAAUUCUAACUGGAGGCCAUGAAUCUGGUCACAGGACAUUGCUAGGUGGGCAGUUUGACUGGGGCGGUCGCCUCCUAAAAGGUAACGGAGGCGCCCAAAGGGUCCCUCAGCGCGGUCGGAAAUCGCGCGUAGAGUGCAAAGGCAGAAGGGAGCCUGACUGCGACACAUACAGGUGGAGCAGGGACGAAAGUCGGGCUUAGUGAUCCGGUGGUUCUGUAUGGAAGGGCCAUCGCUCAACGGAUAAAAGCUACCUCGGGGAUAACAGGCUGAUCUCCCCCAAGAGUCCAC
Molecule: ribosomal RNA, 762 nt
Filed under: Clostridium botulinum C/D
Lineage: Bacteria; Bacillati; Bacillota; Clostridia; Eubacteriales; Clostridiaceae
Description: partial 23S ribosomal RNA
Rfam family: Bacterial large subunit ribosomal RNA
Source: RNAcentral